RNAcentral lists this ribosomal RNA (303 nucleotides) under uncultured bacterium. RNAcentral's name for it is "partial 16S ribosomal RNA". It matches the Rfam family "Bacterial small subunit ribosomal RNA", at positions 516 to 818 of the family's 1533-position model. The record is from RNAcentral.
CGCGGGAAUACGUAGGGUGCAAGCGUUAAUCGGAAUUACUGGGCGUAAAGCGUGCGCAGGCGGUUAUAUAAGUCAGAUGUGAAAUCCCCGGGCUCAACCUGGGAACUGCAUUUGAGACUGUAUGGCUAGAGUGUGUCAGAGGGGGGUAGAAUUCCACGUGUAGCAGUGAAAUGCGUAGAUAUGUGGAGGAAUACCGAUGGCGAAGGCAGCCCCCUGGGAUAACACUGACGCUCAUGCACGAAAGCGUGGGGAGCAAACAGGAUUAGAUACCCCCGUAGUCCCUGUCUCUUAACACAUCUCCGA